UACGUAGGGGGCGAGCGUUGUCCGGAUUUACUGGGCGUAAAGGGUGAGUAGGCGGUUAUAUAUGUCAGGUGUAAAAGGCUAUGGCUUAACCAUGGUUAGCACUUGAAACUGUAUGACUUGAGUGCAGGAGAGGUAAGUGGAAUUCCUAGUGUAGCGGUGAAAUGCGUAGAUAUUAGGAGGAACACCAGUGGCGAAGGCGACUUACUGGACUGUAACUGACGCUGAGUCACGAAAGCGUGGGUAGCAAACAGGAUUAGAUACCCGCGUAGUCCCU
Molecule: ribosomal RNA, 274 nt
Filed under: uncultured prokaryote
Description: partial 16S ribosomal RNA
Rfam family: Bacterial small subunit ribosomal RNA
Source: RNAcentral